RNAcentral lists this ribosomal RNA (438 nucleotides) under uncultured bacterium. Its description in RNAcentral is "bacterial SSU rRNA". It matches the Rfam family "Bacterial small subunit ribosomal RNA", at positions 18 to 446 of the family's 1533-position model. The record is from RNAcentral.
CCUGGCUCAGGAUGAACGCUGGCGGCGUGCUUAAUACAUGCAAGUCGAACGAAUGGAUGUCUAGCUUGCUAGACUGAAGUUAGUGGCGAACGGGUGAGUAAUACAUAGGCAAUCUGCCCUGAAGUGUGGGAUAGCUAUUGGAAACGAUAAUUAAUACCGCAUAGGUAGUAAGAAGGCAUCUUCCUACUAUUAAAGAUGCGUCUGCAUCGCUGCAGGAUGAGCUUAUGGUGUAUUAGCUAGUUGGUGAGAUAAAAGCCCACCAAGGCUAUGAUACAUAGCUGGUCUGAGAGGAUGAACAGCCACAUUGGGACUGAGACACGGCCCAGACUCCUACGGGAGGCAGCAGUAAGGAAUUUUCGGCAAUGGGGGCAACCCUGACCGAGCAACGCCGCGUGAGUGAUGAAGGUCUUCGGAUCGUAAAACUCUGUUGUAAAGGAA